GCCGUAUAUUUGAUCGCUUCUAUGGGGCGUAGGCCUCCCAAAAGGUAAUGGAGGCAUGCAAAGGUUUCUUCGAGCCGGAUGGAGAUUGGCCCGCGAGUGCAAAGGCAGAAGGGAGUUUGACUGCAAUACCCACAUGUCGAGCAAGGACGAAAGUCGGCCUUAGUGUCAACCCACCCCCUCGUCGAA
Molecule: non-coding RNA, 186 nt
Filed under: Amborella trichopoda
Lineage: Eukaryota; Viridiplantae; Streptophyta; Magnoliopsida; Amborellales; Amborellaceae
Description: Bacterial large subunit ribosomal RNA
Rfam family: Bacterial large subunit ribosomal RNA
Source: Rfam by way of RNAcentral